GAGAGAGUUGCUUGUCUUUGCAGCAGCAAGAGCUUGCGCUGCUUUUCCCUGAGAGGCCAGCUUCCCACCGAGCUUGCAGCUGAAGCUGUGCAGCGGACGGAGAUCGUAACUAAAGGAUUCUGACAUCGCUUUGUUCAGCGAGGAACAAAACUAACAUUUUGCAUCAAAAGGAAAGAUGUCACGUUUGGCCUGAUGGAUCCGCUCUCUGCUUUGACAUCCCUCCGUGGAGCAAAAGGAAUGAAUGCAAAGCUGUUUCAAAAUGAGAUGCUCAGGCAGCCUUGUCCUGACAUAUCUCCUGUCACCGUCUUUGGGACUUUUCUUGGGUUUCCUUCAAAACAAACGGCAAAACCUCAUCGCCACGGUCUGCAGGAGGGAGCUGAACCCUUCAGUAGAAAACUGCUCCAAAGUGUGCGUGUGUGUGUGUCUGUGUUUUUCCUUGUUUAUUCUGGGUUUUCCCCAGCCAGCUCUCUUGCAAAAGCUCCGUCACUGGGGUUGUCAGAUGUAAAGGGAACGGUGGUGGAGGGAUGCGACUCUUGAGGGCUUCCAGGUGGUUUAUUCGGGGAUAAUAAAGGAUCUUUCCUAUUCCCUCCAAGGCAUCUCCCACUGUUUCA
This is a long non-coding RNA of Alligator sinensis (Chinese alligator), 611 nucleotides long. RefSeq lists it as uncharacterized. Lineage: Eukaryota; Metazoa; Chordata; Crocodylia; Alligatoridae. The transcript has 2 exons. The record is from RefSeq and is a predicted model, not a curated record.